This 403-nucleotide ribosomal RNA is filed under the name uncultured bacterium. Its description in RNAcentral is "partial 16S ribosomal RNA". It matches the Rfam family "Bacterial small subunit ribosomal RNA", at positions 355 to 775 of the family's 1533-position model. The record is from RNAcentral.
UGGGGAAUAUUGCACAAUGGGCGAAAGCCUGAUGCAGCAACGCCGCGUGAGUGAUGAAGGUCUUCGGAUUGUAAAGCUCUGUCUUUUGGGACGAUAAUGACGGUACCAAAGGAGGAAGCCACGGCUAACUACGUGCCAGCAGCCGCGGUAAUACGUAGGUGGCGAGCGUUGUCCGGAUUUACUGGGCGUAAAGGGUGCGUAGGCGGAUGUUUAAGUGAGAUGUGAAAUACCCGGGCUUAACUUGGGUGCUGCAUUUCAAACUGGAUAUCUAGAGUGCAGGAGAGGAGAAUGGAAUUCCUAGUGUAGCGGUGAAAUGCGUAGAGAUUAGGAAGAACACCAGUGGCGAAGGCGAUUCUCUGGACUGUAACUGACGCUGAGGCACGAAAGCGUGGGUAGCAAACAG